CAUGCAAGUCGAACGGGAAUCCCGAACUUGUUCGGGAGUGACAGUGGCAGACGGGUGAGUAACGCGUGGGAAUCUACCUUGUAGUGGGGAAUAGCCUUUCGAAAGAGAGGGUAAUACCGCAUGUUUCCAAAUUUAUUUGGAAAAAGACUUCGGUCGCUAUAAGAGGAGCCCGCGUCCUAUCAGGUAGUUGGUGGGGUAAUAGCCUACCAAGCCAAUGACGGGUAGCCGGUGUGAGAGCACGACCGGCCACAAGGUCACUGAAACACGGGGCCUACACCUACGGGUGGCAGCAACCGGGAAUAUUGCGCAAUGGGCGAAAGCCUGACGCAGCGACACCGCGUGUGGGAAGAAGCUUUUCGGAGUGUAAACCACUGUGGCAAGGGAAGAAUUUUUGACGGUACCUUGCUGGAAAGCACCUGCUAACUACGUGCCAGAAGCCUCGGUAAUACGUAGGGUGCAAGCGUUAUCCGGAUUUAUUGGGCGUAAAGAGUUCCGCAGGCGUCUUUACAAGUUUCUUGUUUAAGCCUGAGGCUCAACUUCAGAAAAGCAAGAAAAACUGUAAAGAUUGAGUUUGUUUGGGGAAGCUGGAAUUCUCGGUGGAGGGGUGAAAUCCGUAGAUAUCGAGAGGAACACCAAUCGCGAAGGCAAGCUUCUAAAACAAUACUGACGCUAAGGGACGAAAGCUUGGGUAGCAAAAGGGAUUAGAGACCCCUGUAGUCCAAGCCGUAAACUUUCCUCGCUAGUUG
This 746-nucleotide ribosomal RNA is filed under the name uncultured organism. RNAcentral describes it as "bacterial SSU rRNA". It matches the Rfam family "Bacterial small subunit ribosomal RNA", at positions 54 to 822 of the family's 1533-position model. The record is from RNAcentral.